UCUGGAGGAUGGAAGAGGAGAGACCAAACAAUCAUUCAGCUGCUUGUGAAACCCACUGUGAGACAAUACACAGGAACUUCUGUUAUUGUCAACCAGAUCUUGCUGUUAGGAUGACAGCCUUUAAGAGUUUGCCCGGUGUCGAUGGAGAAGGAAGCAGCUGCUGGAAGCGAGACAGGGUGUACUGGCAGCAGAUGAAGUGGCGUUCUGGAAAGGCGUCACUAUCGAUCUGAUGUCGCAUGAGGAAGAUUGCAGCUUGGAGGGGGUGUCGCGGUGGAUUGUGCGACCCCCAAGUUUCCACAGCCAGGAGCUCACCGACCUGUUGCCUGUUGACCUAGAGGCUAAUCCAAAGUACAAUGCUAUGCAUCACAGGCUUGGAGCUGGACAGAUACUUCAUCCAGCAGCCCAGUAUUUGAUGUGUUUUGUAAAUGAUUUGUAAAUAGUUUUUCUGAUAUGCCUUUUUGAAAAAUAAAAUGAAACUUUUAAUCAA
This is a long non-coding RNA of Micropterus salmoides (largemouth bass), 487 nucleotides long. RefSeq lists it as uncharacterized. The record is from RefSeq and is a predicted model, not a curated record. The transcript is spliced from 2 exons. NCBI's taxonomy places the organism in Eukaryota, Metazoa, Chordata, Actinopteri, Centrarchiformes, Centrarchidae.